GCAGGGACAUCCCAGCACUGGAGCUGUCACCACGGGCAGGGACACAAAGUCCUGGUGUCCCCCAUGGUUCCAGAGGGAGGGAACGGGCCCUGGGUGUCACCCUCCAGGGCAGGACAGGGCCAUGGUGUCCCCUUCACUGCCAGCCCAUCCACAGCCCCAGUGUCCCCAGGGAUGGCUCUGUCCCCUCAAAGCUGUCACCUCCCAUUGCAGGACAGUGUCCCCAGCACUGCCAGCCCAUGCACAGCCCCACUGUCCCCCAGGGAUGGCUCUGUCCCCUCAAAGCUGUCACCUCAAGGGGCAGGACAGGGCCAUGGUGUGUCCCCAGCACUGCCAGCCCAUCCACAGCCCCAGUGUCCCCCGGGAUGGCUCUGUCCCCUCAAAGCUGUCACCUCCCAUUGCAGGACAGUGUCCCCAGCACUGCCAGUCCAUCCAGCACUCCCAGGGCUGGCUCUGUCCCCUCAAAGCUGUCACCUAUGGAGCAGCACAGGGCCAUGGUGUGUCCCCUUCACUGCCAGCCCAUCCACAUCCCCAGUGUCCCCAGGGAUGGCUCUGUCCCCUCAAAGCUGUCACCUCAAGGGGCAGGACAGUGUCCCCAGCUCUGCCAGCCCAUCCAGCACUCCCAGGGCUGGCCCUGUCCCCUCUGAGCUGUCACCCUCCAGAGCAGGACAGUGUCCCCAUCACUGCCAGCCCAUUCACAGCCCCAAUGUCCCCAGGGAUGGCUUUGUCCCCUCUAGGCUGUCACCUCCAAAAGCAGGACAGGGCCACAGUCCUGCCAGUCCAUCCAGCACUCCCAGGGCUGGCCCUGUCCCCUCUGAGCUGUCACCUCCCAGAGCAGGACAGGGCCAUGGUGUCCCCAUCACUGCCAGCCCAUCCACAUCCCCAGGGAUGGCUCUGUCACCUCUGGGCUGUCACCCAUGGGGCAGGACAGUGUCCCCAGCAUUGCCAGUCCAUCCAGCAAUGCUGAAUUCCUGAACAUCCCCCGAGCCCCGGGGGGAUCCCGGAGCGAUCCCUGAACAUCCCGGAGCGAUCCCCGANUCCUCGGGGAGGGGCAGCCCCAUAAAUCCUCCCUGGGUGACGCUCACUCCCCGUGGGUGCUGCUCCACGCUGCUGCUGCUGCUGCUCCGUCCUUCUGCAGCCUCUUCGUGGCCAAAAUUGGUGCCAAAGCCUCCCCCAGGAGCUGCCGUGCCCGGUUGGUGCCCCCCGAAGCGGGCAGGGGGUGCCAGGUGAUGCCCUCUCCUCAUCCGCUUCAGCCUCAGCAGCACUUUGCUGCUCUGACCUCGCAUCCGCCCCCAAAAACGGGGGGAAAACAACUGCCCUUCCCAAGGGGUGCCCCUGUGCCAGGGGAUGAGCUCCUCAAUCCAGAGGGAAACGGGCAAAACCUUGCGGGAGCCCAAAAAGCAAAAGAAAAAACCCCAAAUUGUGGAGAGAGCAAAAGAAAAACCCUAAAUCACAGAGAUAGCAAAAGAAAAACUCCAAAUCGUGGAGAGAGCAAAACAAAAACCCCAAAUCGUGGAGAAAGCAAAAGAAAAACCCUAAAUCACGGAGGAAGCAAAAGAAAAACCCCAAAUCGUGGAGAAAGCAAAAGAAAAAACCCCAAAUCACGGAGAUUUCUGCGAGAGCACCACCUGCCUUGGCCUCAGCCCAGCUCUCGGCACCUCCGCCGUGGGGUCGUGCCGAGCUUGGCACCCCCUCCGUGCCAGGCAAACCCAGCUGGUGCCACCCCAGGAAGGCUGGGGCACCCCAAUGAACCCCCUGAGGUGUUCCCAUGCCCUGCGAGGAGAGGAGAAGCAGGGCAGCGGGGCAGGGCAGUACUCACCACGGAGGCGAGAGCUCCUUUCCUCUGGGACCGAGCCCCGGCGCCCUGGGUAUAAAUACCGGCGGGCCCGAGGAACCUCAGAGGCGGAUCCGCUCUAAACAAAGACCCUAAAUAGGCUCAGUGAUGGUGUGCCGGCCAUAUGGCCAUAUAAGGUGU
Molecule: long non-coding RNA, 1972 nt
Filed under: Zonotrichia albicollis (white-throated sparrow)
Lineage: Eukaryota; Metazoa; Chordata; Aves; Passeriformes; Passerellidae
Description: lncRNA (ENSZALG00000006242.1)
Source: RNAcentral